This 359-nucleotide unclassified non-coding RNA is filed under the name fungal sp. RNAcentral describes it as "partial internal transcribed spacer region". The stretch from base 1 to 46 matches the Rfam family "Eukaryotic small subunit ribosomal RNA", at positions 1786 to 1831 of the family's 1831-position model. The record is from RNAcentral. Lineage: Eukaryota; Fungi.
AAGUCGUAACAAGGUUUCCGUAGGUGAACCUGCGGAAGGAUCAUUUCCAAAAAAACAAAACUUUAAAUACAACGUUUCGUCUUGUAUCUUUGGAAACAAAGAUAGAAGCGAGAUUAUGUGAACUGUUAAUAUUCUUUUUAUGUACUCUUGAAGAGUUAAAUUGGAGAGAGUACAUUUUUAAACAUAACCAAUUGAAACUCCAACAAGAUGUGUUUAAUAGCAAUCUCUGGAUUGAUAUUUUAUAUGUCGAAGUUGAACACUUUUUAUUUUUACAAACUUUUUGUUUUGAUAUGCAAAUAUUAAAGCAGAAAUCAAAAAAAAUAUUAUGACAACUUUUAACGGUGGAUCUCUUGGCUCGU